This 1528-nucleotide long non-coding RNA is filed under the name Homo sapiens (human). Its description in RNAcentral is "non-protein coding lnc-LIMS4-1:6". The record is from RNAcentral. Lineage: Eukaryota; Metazoa; Chordata; Mammalia; Primates; Hominidae.
CACGCAAUAAACAGUUAUAAAAGGUAAUUGUUGAGAUCAGGGGAAGAUGGCAGAUAGGAGGCAGUGCUAAUGUGUAGCUCCCACAUGGAUGGACAAAACACCAUGUGGAGACUCACACUGUGACCCUGUUGUGCUCCAAGAACUAUCAUAGGAACGUACUGGGAAAACCAAAAGAAUUCACGGAUCCUUUGAAAGAAGACGCACACCACUGUAAAUUCUGUGGAACAGGAGAAAAACUGUCUUGGAGGAAGGCAUCCUUCUAUUCUACUGAUCAGAAAGCUGGACAAAGUCCCACUGCCAGGCUACACAGUUGGUGCCAUUUGCGGAGGCCCACCCGCAGCGGUCACGUGAAGGACCGAGCGCCGCGCGCCCAGGCGGGGCCUCCGGCCUGCACGAGGAGGGCAGAGUCCGUUGCGGCUGCCGCCCCGACGCCCGCGCAUCCCCGCUCGCCGCGCCCGCCGCCGCGAUGUCCGGGGCCGGCCUAGCCGCGGUGGUGAGCUGCCUGCGCCCGCAGCCCGGCGAGGAGCCGCAGACCCAUGAGACCUUCUGCCAGAAAGUGGGCCUGCUGUGCACGCUUCAGGGUAAGCUGCAGCCCCAGGACUGGACAUUGUUGGACGAACUGCUGCAGGGCCUGCAAACACUGCUGCUCAUGAUUUUGUGGCAGGCUUCCCGUGGCCUCUUCCUGCACUACCAUGUGGAGGCCCUAACCCUGCGUCGCAUCAGUAGCUUCCGCCAGUACAAGUAUGACCUGGUGGCAGCGGGCAAGGCUUUGGAGGGCAUGUUCUGCAAGCUCAACCACCUCCUGGAACACCCGCACCAGCUGUUCUUCCUCUACCUGCUCCCCACUCUGUCCCGCUUCGUCUCCAUCGGCCUCUACAUGCCCGCCACCAGCUUCUUGCUCCUGGUCCUUGGUUUCAAGGCUCUGCAACUGUGGAUGCAGCUGCAUGAGGCCGGAGUGGGCCUUGAGGAGCUCAGGGGGGUCCCUGACCCUAGUGUCCCCGCUCCCCCAGCACAGGAUGGUAAGCACACAGGUCCCAGACAGGGGCUGGAUGGCUCUGAAGCUGGUAGCCCUGAUCUACCUAAUACUGCAGCUGGGCUGCAUCGCCCUCACCAACUUCUGACUGGACUUCCUGCUGGCCGCCACUAUGGUGCUGCCGCUGUGCUCGCCGAGCCUUUGGGCCCUGGACCCUCUGUGCUGCCCUGCUGGUGUUGACAAGCCCAGCAGCCACGCUCCUUGGCAGCCCAUUCCUGUGGCGGGAGCUGCAGGAGGCACCACUGUCACUGGCCAAGGGCUGGCAGCUCUUCCUGGCAGCACUGGCCCAGGGUGCGCUGGAGCACCACACCUAAGGCGCCCUGCUCUUCCCACUGCUGUCCCUGGGCCUCUGCCCUUGCUGACUACUUUUCUGGAAUGUGCUCUUCUGGAAGUGAGAUCUGCCUGUCCGGGGCACCAGGCUGGGACAGAGACUCCCCAAGGACCCCAUUCUGCCUCCUUCUGGGGAAAUAAACAAGUGCCUGUUUCAGCUGCUUU